GCUGAGCCUCUGGAGUCCACCUGAAUAAGGCUGGCAUCAGUUUCCUCUGUUUUAUCUACUUCUUGCCCUUCCAUAUCCCAAAGAGAAGAUGCUCUGUCAAAGGGCUGUCAGCUGGUGCCAUCCGCAACUAACUCCACGUUCUGGGAGUUGCCGAGGGCUGCCUGGGCGGCCAUCCCAGGACACCAGACCACUCGGCUCGUAUCUCUGGUUACUUCCUGCGCUGGGGAAAAAAGAACACGCUUGCUCUCCUGGGUCCUCGGGUAAACUACAGGCGGCUUCUCCUGGGUUGGAAUCCGUUUUGGCGGUCGCCUAAUUCCGCGAGGGCUUUUUCACGGCUUCAAGCCAAGAGCGCUGAAGGGAGGAAAGGUAUACUGAUGCCGUAGGGCUGAGGGAGGGAUUCCAGGCUCCUGGGGUGUUCUUCUGCAGCAGGACCCCUCGCUGGCCGCUGCCAGCCCACUUCCGGAGGAGUUGGCCUCGUCUAGCCAACAGUUCAGUGGGAUUUCUUUCUUGGACAUAACUUCAUAUCAUUGAAAUAGUCUACAAAAGACACCAGCUCAAGCCGCGAGGGCGUUGAAUUGUCCGGAUUUGGGGUGGCGGUUAAUGCUCCUCUUCUGGUGCCUCCCCCGCUGGGGCCCUGCAUUCCAUUAGCCCCGCGCUGGGGUAGAGAUGCCAAGUUUAGGGGCUGGAGAGGACAAGGGGAAGGACGAGAGAACUCUUGCACCGACGGAUGUAGUUCCAAGCGACCCGAAAUGAGGAAAACCCAGAAGGGGCGGACGGAGGGCAAAGUCGGCCCAGGACGAUCUUCAGGCGCACCAUUCUCUCGCCCUGGAGGGACAGGGAAGGGCGGAAGCGGAGGGUGGCUGUCCAGCCGGGAGCCUCUGAUCCACGGGGCUUGGACCAGCCACCCCACCCGAGGGCGGCUGAGGACUGGGCGGCCGAGCUCGCGGCCCACUUAGCUAAUGCCGGGUAAUGCCGACCCCGGCCCAAGAGCAGCAGCUGCACUUGGGAAGGAAAACUCUUUAAACAAAUCAUUUUGGUGUCU
This 1042-nucleotide long non-coding RNA is filed under the name Homo sapiens (human). Its description in RNAcentral is "non-protein coding lnc-MAPK6-11:1". Lineage: Eukaryota; Metazoa; Chordata; Mammalia; Primates; Hominidae. The record is from RNAcentral.